Molecule: long non-coding RNA, 247 nt
Organism: Actinia tenebrosa (Australian red waratah sea anemone)
Lineage: Eukaryota; Metazoa; Cnidaria; Anthozoa; Actiniaria; Actiniidae
Source: RefSeq, a predicted model, not a curated record
CAUGGAUUCUUUAUUGGCCAGGUGGACUUUACAGUCAGGAUUUCAAUCCGUCGAAGUUCUACGUAUUGUGACGAAAGUAGAGUCGCAAACAGAUACCCUUCUUAUUCAAUAUCCAGGACAGUCACGAGGUACAACGGAUCAUCUAACUGGGGCUUUACUAGUAAAUGGAUUCCUCAAGCUGAUUGUCAAGUUAUAUGAAUUGUUUUGGCUCCAAAGACUACUACGAAUAAACUUAAAGUACAGAGAA